ACUCCUACGGGAGGCAGCAGUUGGGAAUCUUGCACAAUGGGCGAAAGCCUGAUGCAGCAAUCCCGCGUGAGUGAUGAAGGCUUUCGGGUCGUAAAGCUCUUUCAGCAGGGAAGAAUAACUGACGGUACCUGCAGAAGAAGCACCGGCUAACUCCGUGCCAGCAGCCGCGGUAAUACGGAGGGUGCAAGCGUUGUUCGGAAUCAUUGGGCGUAAAGCGCGUGUAGGCGGUUGGUUAAGUCUGAUGUGAAAGCCCGGGGCUUAACCCCGGAAGUGCAUUGGAUACUGGCUAACUAGAGGGCGAGAGAGGAAAGCGGAAUUCCUGGUGUAGGGGUGAAAUCCGUAGAUAUCAGGAGGAACAUCAGAGGCGAAGGCGGCUUUCUGGCUCGUUACUGACGCUGAGACGCGAAAGCGUGGGGAGCAAACAGGAUUAGAUACCCUUGUAGGCUCUGC
RNAcentral lists this ribosomal RNA (450 nucleotides) under uncultured bacterium. Its description in RNAcentral is "bacterial SSU rRNA". It matches the Rfam family "Bacterial small subunit ribosomal RNA", at positions 335 to 800 of the family's 1533-position model. The record is from RNAcentral.